Molecule: ribosomal RNA, 301 nt
Filed under: uncultured bacterium
Lineage: Bacteria
Description: partial 16S ribosomal RNA
Rfam family: Bacterial small subunit ribosomal RNA
Source: RNAcentral
CAGCAGCCACGGUAACACAGAGGGUGCGAGCGUUAAUCGGAUUUACUGGGCGUAAAGCGUGCGUAGGCGGCUUUUUAAGUCGGAUGUGAAAUCCCUGAGCUUAACUUAGGAAUUGCAUUCGAUACUGGGAAGCUAGAGUAUGGGAGAGGAUGGUAGAAUUCCAGGUGUAGCGGUGAAAUGCGUAGAGAUCUGGAGGAAUACCGAUGGCGAAGGCAGCCAUCUGGCCUAAUACUGACGCUGAGGUACGAAAGCAUGGGGAGCAAACAGGAUUAGAUACCCGCGUAGUCCCUGUCUCUUAUAC